RNA transcript from Harpia harpyja (harpy eagle), 1479 nucleotides. It is a transcript of the gene named developmentally regulated GTP binding protein 1, with no coding region annotated. The record is from RefSeq and is a predicted model, not a curated record. NCBI's taxonomy places the organism in Eukaryota, Metazoa, Chordata, Aves, Accipitriformes, Accipitridae. The transcript is spliced from 10 exons.
GGGGAGUGGGGGGGGAGGGCGCGCGCCCGCCGCGAGCUCCUUCCCGCCUACCGCUGAGGCGCGCUCCCGCGGCUUCUCGCGAGCCCUGGCCUCGCUCCCGCGAGAAACCGCUGCGCGCCUGCGCGGUGCCGAGGCCGGGGCCGGGCCUGAGGAGAGGAGCUGCGUGUGGUGGUGGCUGCCGGCCGGGGCCGAGACCGAGGAGACCUGCCGCCAAGAUGAGCGGCACGUUGGCCAAGAUCGCGGAGAUCGAGGCUGAGAUGGCCCGGACGCAGAAGAACAAGGCCACGGCUCACCACCUGGGGCUGCUGAAGGCCCGCUUGGCCAAGCUACGCCGGGAGCUCAUCACCCCCAAGGGAGGCGGCGGCGGCGGCCCCGGGGAAGGUUUUGAUGUUGCAAAGACAGGUGAUGCGCGGAUUGGGUUUGUGGGUUUUCCAUCAGUGGGGAAAUCUACUCUUCUAAGUAAUCUUGCUGGUGUAUACUCUGAAGUGGCAGCAUAUGAAUUCACUACACUAACUACUGUGCCUGGAGUCAUUAGAUACAAAGGAGCAAAGAUACAGCUACUUGAUCUCCCAGGAAUUAUUGAAGGUGCCAAGGAUGGUAAAGGCAGAGGACGGCAAGUCAUUGCAGUUGCUCGAACCUGUAAUCUCAUUCUGAUUGUUCUGGAUGUGCUGAAACCCCUUGGUCACAAGAAAAUCAUUGAGAAUGAACUGGAGGGAUUUGGAAUUCGUCUGAAUAGUAAGCCCCCUAAUAUCGGAUUUAAAAAAAAGGAUAAAGGAGGCAUUAACCUUACAGCCACAUGUCCUCAGAGUGAGCUGGAUACUGAAACAGUGAAGAGCAUCUUAGCCGAGUACAAAAUUCACAAUGCCGAUGUCACGCUGCGCAGCGACGCCACUGCUGAUGAUCUAAUUGAUGUUGUUGAAGGAAACAGGGUUUACAUCCCAUGCAUUUACGUCCUAAAUAAAAUUGACCAAAUUUCCAUUGAGGAACUAGAUAUUAUUUACAAAGUACCCCACUGUGUACCAAUAUCUGCUCAUCAUCGCUGGAACUUUGAUGAUCUGCUGGAGAAAAUUUGGGACUACUUGAAGCUAGUACGAAUUUACAAGGGAGAACCUGCUGCAGCCAUUGGCUACCCAGAUGCAUUUUCAGCUUACAAACACCGAACAAUUUACAGAGUAUCUGUUGUCACCACUGAAAUAGUGGAACUCGGCACAAGUGCCCAGGAUGACAGACUACACCAAACCUAAAGGGCAACUCCCAGACUACACCUCUCCUGUGGUACUACCUUACUGCAAGACAACAGUGGAGGAUUUUUGCAUGAAGAUCCACAAAAAUCUCAUUAAAGACUUUAAAUAUGCACUGGUCUGGGGUUCAUCUGUUAAACACAACCCUCAAAAAGUUGGUAAAGACCAUACUCUUGAAGAUGAGGAUGUUAUUCAGAUUGUGAAGAAAUAAAGUUGUUCUUGCAUGGUUUGCCACUCC